CCCUACAAGUUGACGGGGAGAGGGCCAGAUAUAUCUGCAAGUGUGAACCCUGGAACCGUGAAACUCAGAGCUGAUACAUGAUGAGAGCACACCUGUGCCCUCUCUCUGUUUGAUUUGGGUAAAAGAAAGUUCUGAGGUUUUAUUACUCUUAAGUGAGUAAGUGAAAGUCACUCAGUCGUUUCCAAUUCUUUGUGACCCUAUAGACUAUAUAGCCCGCCAGGCUCCUCUGUCCAUGGAAUUCUCCAGGCAAGAAUAUUGGAGUGGGUUGCCAUUUCCUUCUCCAGGGGACCUUCCUGACACAGGGAUUGAACCCAGGUCCCCUACACUGCAGGCAGACUCUUUAUCUUUUGAGCCAGCAGGGAAGUUGUUUUUGGUUUUUUUUAUUGCUCUUAGAACAGAAGCAAAUGGCUCCAGGGCAGGUUUCCCUGGUGGCUCAGUGGUAAAGAAUCUGCUUGCCAGAGAACAAGACGGCAGAGGAGUAGGUGGACGUGGAGUACAUCUCUCUCCAUGGAUACAUCAGGAAUACACCUUCAGACACAGAAGUGCAUGCAGAACACCAGCUGAGAGUGGACAGGAGUACCUGACCAGUGGAAAAGAAUAUAUAGGACCAUGCAAAACUCAAGAUCAAGCCCUGAGCCUUUGGAGUGGGAGCACUGACUCCAAGACCCUAGACUACCAGAGAACUAACGCUAGGGAGUAUCAAAUAGUGAGAACUCACACAAAGGAAACCACUGGAAUACAAGACCCUGGCAUCACGCAACCACCCUGUGCAGGACACCUGAUCUAAACAACAAACAAAACAAAAAUACAAACACAAUCAUCAGCAGACAGGAUUACCACCUCACUCAGCCUUAAAGAAAAACAAACAAAAACUCAGCACUAAUCUCACCCUAUACAAAGCUGACAAAACCACUGGACCAACCUCAGAAGGGCAGAAACCAAAAGGAAGACAGAAUUCAACCUUCUUCAAGGAAAGAAUUCAACUUUCCUUGAAGCCUGGGAGAAGGAGACUUUAAAUACAAUAAGUUAAAAAAAAAUAAUGAAAAGGCAGAGAAAUACUACACAAAUGAAGGAACAAAACUCAGAAGUCCAAAUAAAUGAAGAGGAAUAGGCAAGCUACCAGAAAAACAAUUCAGAAUAAUGAUAGUGAAGAUGAUCAAAAACCUUGAAAACAAAAUGGAGAAAAUGCAAGAAUCAAUUAAAAAAGACCUAGAAGAAUUAAAGAAUAAACAUACAAAGAUGAACAAUACAAUUACUGAAAUUAAAAAUACUCUAGAAGGAAUCAAUAGAAUAUCUGAAGCAGAAGAACAAAUCAAUGAGCUGGAAGAUAAAAUGGUAAAAAUAACUUCUGAAGAGCAGAACAAAAGAAAAAGAAUUAAAAGAACUGAGGAC
Molecule: long non-coding RNA, 1392 nt
Organism: Bos taurus (domestic cattle)
Lineage: Eukaryota; Metazoa; Chordata; Mammalia; Artiodactyla; Bovidae
Source: Ensembl